RNAcentral lists this ribosomal RNA (468 nucleotides) under uncultured bacterium. RNAcentral's name for it is "partial 16S ribosomal RNA". It matches the Rfam family "Bacterial small subunit ribosomal RNA", at positions 28 to 507 of the family's 1533-position model. The record is from RNAcentral.
GACGAACGCUGGCGGCGUGCUUAACACAUUCAAGUCGAACGGAAAGUCCCUGCUUUUUUGUGGUUCUCGAGUGGCGAACUGGUGAGUAACACUUGAGUAACCUGCUCUUGACUUUGGGAUAACUUCAGGAAACUUGGGCUAAUACCGGAUAUGAUCUCCUUCUUCAUGGUGGCGGUUGUAAAGUUUCUGCGGUUGUGGUUGGACUCGCGGCUUAUCAGCUUGUUGGUGGGGUAGUGGCUUACCACUGCUUUGACUGAUAGCCGGCCUGAGAUGGUGACCGGCCACCUUGCGACUAAGGGAGGGCCCAGAUUAGUACAGGGGGCAGCGGGGGGAAAUAUGGCACAAUGGGCGGAAGCCUGAUGCAGCAGCGCCGCGCGCGGGAUGACGGUCUUCGGGUUAUAAACAGCAUUAGCUUGUGACGAAGCGGGAGUGACGGUAAUGGGUAAAUAAGCACCGGCUAACUACGUG